Molecule: transfer RNA, 74 nt
Filed under: Slackia sp.
Lineage: Bacteria; Bacillati; Actinomycetota; Coriobacteriia; Eggerthellales; Eggerthellaceae
Description: tRNA-Trp
Rfam family: tRNA
About the family: Transfer RNA (tRNA) molecules are approximately 80 nucleotides in length. Their secondary structure includes four short double-helical elements and three loops (D, anti-codon, and T loops).
Source: RNAcentral
ACGCAUCUAGCACAUCGGUAGUGCGACGGUCUCCAAAACCGUUGAGCGGGGUUCGAUUCCUCGGAUGCGUGCCA